RNAcentral lists this transfer RNA (65 nucleotides) under Scopura longa. RNAcentral describes it as "tRNA-Tyr". It matches the Rfam family "tRNA". From Rfam's summary of the family: Transfer RNA (tRNA) molecules are approximately 80 nucleotides in length. Their secondary structure includes four short double-helical elements and three loops (D, anti-codon, and T loops). Further hydrogen bonds mediate the characteristic L-shaped molecular structure. tRNAs have two regions of fundamental functional importance: the anti-codon, which is responsible for specific mRNA codon recognition, and the 3' end, to which the tRNAs corresponding amino acid is attached (by aminoacyl-tRNA synthetases). tRNAs cope with the degeneracy of the genetic code in two manners: having more than one tRNA (with a specific anti-codon) for a particular amino acid; and 'wobble' base-pairing, i.e. permitting non-standard base-pairing at the 3rd anti-codon position. The record is from RNAcentral. Lineage: Eukaryota; Metazoa; Arthropoda; Insecta; Plecoptera; Scopuridae.
GGUUGAAUGGCUGAGAAUUAGGCAAUAGAUUGUAAAUCUAUUUAGGAGGGGUACCUCUUCUACCA